RNAcentral lists this transfer RNA (69 nucleotides) under Ictidomys tridecemlineatus (thirteen-lined ground squirrel). RNAcentral's name for it is "Spermophilus tridecemlineatus (thirteen-lined ground squirrel) tRNA". It matches the Rfam family "tRNA". Rfam says of the family: Transfer RNA (tRNA) molecules are approximately 80 nucleotides in length. Lineage: Eukaryota; Metazoa; Chordata; Mammalia; Rodentia; Sciuridae. The record is from Rfam by way of RNAcentral.
GGAGUUGUAGCUCAGUGGUAGAGCGCUUGCCUUGAAUGCAUAAGACUCUGGGUUCAAUCCCCAGCACCA